CCAGACGGUCGGACGGUCGCGGCAUGCUUCGGUGUGUCGAGGAAAGUCCGGGCUCCACGGUGAAGAGGCGGCGGGUAACGCCCGCCCGGGGUGACCCGAGGGACAGUGCCACAGAAAGCAAACCGCCGGCCUUUCGAGGCCGGUAAGGGUGAAAGGGUGGGGUAAGAGCCCACCGCGUCGACGGCAACGGAGACGGCACGGUAAACCCCGCCUGGAGCAAGACCGAAUAGGGAUGUCGUGCAGGUUCGCCUGCGGGGGUCACCGCCCCAGAUGUCCGGGUAGGUUGCUGGAGCCGGUCGGCAACGAUCGGCCAAGAGGAAUGACCGUCCAUGCUCCCUCGGGGGCGGGACAGAACCCGGCUUACAGACCGUCUGGCGCU
This 379-nucleotide RNase P RNA is filed under the name Brevundimonas sp. RNAcentral describes it as "RNase P RNA component class A". It matches the Rfam family "Bacterial RNase P class A". Rfam says of the family: Ribonuclease P (RNase P) is a ubiquitous endoribonuclease, found in archaea, bacteria and eukarya as well as chloroplasts and mitochondria. Its best characterised activity is the generation of mature 5'-ends of tRNAs by cleaving the 5'-leader elements of precursor-tRNAs. Cellular RNase Ps are ribonucleoproteins. The record is from RNAcentral. Lineage: Bacteria; Pseudomonadati; Pseudomonadota; Alphaproteobacteria; Caulobacterales; Caulobacteraceae.